Molecule: long non-coding RNA, 2393 nt
Filed under: Daphnia magna
Lineage: Eukaryota; Metazoa; Arthropoda; Branchiopoda; Diplostraca; Daphniidae
Description: uncharacterized LOC116935953
Source: RNAcentral
AAAAAUUACAGUAACUUUGCGUCAUUCUAGAUUGUUUUGGAAGUAUCUGUUUCAGCGCACAAACACUGUUAUAGUUGCUCGCUUUUCGUCGUUCGUUGUUCGUUGUUCACAAAUUUUACGUUUGGCAUCCAUUGUUACGCAUACGCAUCAUACGCGGCUGAUCAGAUUCUACGUUGGCGCCUCGAUUCCCAUCGUCGUUUGUGAUGACAUAACUAUCAUGAAAAUGUUGCUGUGGCUGCACCUACCAAGGAAAACGGCAAUUUUCAAUAGGACUACUUACUAAACUCCAGUCUUCUGUGCAAAAGAGCAUGCAAAGUAGACUAUGGUACAAAUAGCCGCAAACUCGACCCCUAAAAUCGUUGGCCGUAAUAGAAAGGACAAGUACAAAUUAAAACUGAAGUGAACGAAACGGAAUACCGGCAAUACAUCCUUCACUCUCAGUUAUGUUACGCCUUCCAUGGAAUUUCAAGGUGUUUGGGUAUGACCAGCAUCAGUCAUCGACAUUUGCUUUGAGUAAAGCUGUUCUAUUAAUCUACUAUGCGCGCUGGUCACUGUAGUAAAUAAUAGCACAGCAGAUGUAUUCAAUUUUGGCAUUAUGCAUUGUGCUCCUUUUUAGCACACUAAAAGGGAGACCAAAAUAGUUCUUAUCCCAAGUCCAUCUGUUUAUUAUUCAAUUUCGACUGAUUCUUUUAUGAUGUGAUGCUAUCCAUUGCUUAAUUUCCAUCUUCUUUGCAUAGAUUGUUGGUAGAGGCCAUAGUAGCUAAUCGGGUAUUUUAAUGAUCCUGUUAUCAGGGGUUGGGGACGUUACGUCGGACAACUCUGAUUUUGUCCUAUUUGGUUUUGUAUGUCGUUUGACUUGAGCUAGCAUAGAUAGGGGAAGGGCAACCCUUUUCUCCGUCAUCUUAUGACUAGGAUAAAUCGGGAAAUGGGCCAAUAUUUAUAGAUUCCGAUUUGUAUAUGUAAAUGUUGAACCUUCUAAUCCAAAAUUGUAGCUAUGGCGUUUUGGUCUACUUUGACCCUUCCGAUACUCGCUGAGACAUUUUUUUUUUCACAUAUGCGUAGCAAAAGACAGAGCGGUGGAAGGUUUGGUCUUGCAUAUUAAAAAACUUACUAUUGUUUUGUUAAAAUUGUUCUUUCUAUUUAUAACGUCUGUAAGUAUCAAUGAUGCCUUAGGACGUUCAAAUUCAAGAAACUUGCAAAAUGUAGGUCCUUACGUCUUGUCUACAUUAUAUCAAAUUUUGAAAGAUAUCCAGCAAUAUAGUGGAUUAGAAAUCUAUCAAGCAAUUCAUCAAGCUCGUCGCUCAAAAGUACACCACAGAACGUUUGACGCCUCGUCAAAAACCCUCUAUGAAAAAUGAUUAGUGGUUAAUUGGUAGACAGCUUUUCCGAUGUUAUAAGGGGCAGUUGUUCAUUCGUGAAAUCAUAUAGCCUAGAUUUAUGACGUUAUGUAUCGCUACGUGCACAUUGCUAAGGGAUUUACUUUUUAAAUUGCCUUCGCAUUUAACCCCAAAAGUAUUUUGGCUUAGUAACCACUCAAAAAAUCAGAACAGAAUAUUGAAAUAUCAAAUUUACCAACAUAUUUGAAAACUGAAUAUUGUGUCAUUUUGACCAAUAUGUUGCUACGAAGCAAAAUGAUUGUAAAACAAGUCGAAAAAACCUGACCGAUUGUAAAGGUCAUGGUUUACUGACGAGUAGAAUUCUAUAUCUACGUACAUUUUCAUCGCAUUUAUUAUUAGUCAUUGACGACAGAGUUGUCUCCGUUGAGAAAGAAAACAUACUGUGCAUACAGACAGAUGAAGAAAUUUGGUGACCGGUUUCGAAAAAAACUGGAUUAUACACUGCCAAAUGGUGAAAACAACUUUAUUAUCAUCGCCAGGUCACGUUGAAGUCUAAGAGGUGGUUGACGAAGAUUUCGUGCCCAGACUAUGAAUAGUGGACAGAGAGAAAUUGGUUACGUUUAUUCUGGAUCCCGUUCGGCUGCCUCUUUUUCUUUAUCAGCUUUCCUUUGCUCGGUUUUUGCUCCCCUUCCAUUUUGGAUAGCGAGUGGAAAGAUGCACCUGUCAUCGAUCAACGUCUCAGCUAUGUCUGUAGAGAUGCAAGCGAGAGUUCUUCCUUUCUUGAGCUUUUGAUUAUCAUGGUAGCAUAGCUUCACUGGUUUCCCAGAAUAUAUAUUCAGGUCUUUGUAGGGACAACGCACUUAAAAGAGGCAACAAAGUUGAUUGUAUACAUGAAGAACAUUGAUGGCAUUAAUUUUCUCCUGUGCGCAUAAAACGCACAGUAUCAAAAAAAUACACAUUUUUCCUGGGUGGAACUAUCGGCAAGUGACUGACUUGAUUUUCUACAAUUUGCUCGAUAAUCACAUUAGACUAUUUGAUAAAAAAACAAAAACGAUG